AAUGACACGAUCACUCCCGUUGAGUGGGGCACCCAAGAAGCCAUCGGGAAUGUCGUGUCCGCCC
This 64-nucleotide microRNA precursor is filed under the name Microcebus murinus (gray mouse lemur). RNAcentral describes it as "microRNA mmr-mir-425 precursor". Its record names the gene mmr-mir-425. It matches the Rfam family "mir-425 microRNA precursor family", at positions 13 to 75 of the family's 85-position model. Lineage: Eukaryota; Metazoa; Chordata; Mammalia; Primates; Cheirogaleidae. The record is from miRBase by way of RNAcentral.